GGAUGCAAUGCCGAAACUGGUAUCGGUGCCGGACUGUAACCCCGGUUCCCCAAGGGGAGUGAAGGUUCGAGCCCUUCUGCAUCCACCA
Molecule: transfer RNA, 88 nt
Filed under: Burkholderia cenocepacia
Lineage: Bacteria; Pseudomonadati; Pseudomonadota; Betaproteobacteria; Burkholderiales; Burkholderiaceae
Description: tRNA-Tyr
Rfam family: tRNA
About the family: Transfer RNA (tRNA) molecules are approximately 80 nucleotides in length. Their secondary structure includes four short double-helical elements and three loops (D, anti-codon, and T loops).
Source: RNAcentral